This 1812-nucleotide long non-coding RNA is filed under the name Mus pahari (shrew mouse). Its description in RNAcentral is "predicted gene 12766 (MGP_PahariEiJ_G0004052.1)". The record is from RNAcentral. Lineage: Eukaryota; Metazoa; Chordata; Mammalia; Rodentia; Muridae.
GCCAGUCUUCUCUUAGCUGCUUUUGGAACAAGAUGUAGAGCCCUCAGCUCCUCCAGCCUCAUAUCUGCCUGGAUGCUGCCAUGCUUCUGCCUUGAUGAUCAUGGGCUGAACCUCAGAACCUGUAAGCCAACCCCAGUUAGUGUCCUUUAGAAGAGUUGCCUUGGUCAUGGUGUCUGUUAGGGUAUGUAGCUCAGACUGGCCUUCACCCUGGUUCGGUUAGCCUGCCAAAUGCAUGCACCACUGGAUAAAUCCCUCCUUUUAACUGAACUGUAACUCUGACGCUGAGUGGAGAGGCUAUGGCAGAGAAAGCAAGCCUACUGUGGAUGCCUGAAGCUAACACGGUUUUAAGAUGUAUUCAGUUCAUUGACAGCCCUAAGAAUUCAUGCUCAGUCGCUGAGGUCUGUGCUUCUGACUAGAUUGUGUGAAGGCUGUGGAGAUGGAUCCCUGGGGAAAUGCUUGCUGUGGAAGCACAAGGACCUGAAUUUGGAUCCCUAGCAUCUAUACGGAGAGCUGAGCAUCAGCACACACUUUUAUAAUCUCAGCGCUGGAGAGGCAAAGACUGGUGGAUCCCCAGAAACCCAUGGCUAGCCAGCUGAGCCAAAGUGAUGAUCUCCAGUUCCAUCUGCAGGUGUCUCUGGCAUGCAGAGCCAUCAAAUCCCCUUGAGCUGGAGACAGAGAUGACGAUUAACUGCCUGAUGUCAGUACUUGGAGCUGAACCUGGGUCUUUGGCAAGGACAGUACACACUCGUGUAACCACUGAGUUAUCUCUCCAAGACCCGAGAGAAAUGCACCAAAGACCUUCCGGUGGUGUUCUGGCUGCUUCUUGCCGCUUCUGUGGACUCGGGUGGAUUGGCUGAGCCUCUCUCAGUUUCUUCUGGAUCAAGCUGCUGCUGAUUCCUGUUUGAUGUUUUCCUGGACUGCUGACAGUGAAGAUUGGAAUCGCCCCAAAGAAUUAUUUCUAAACAGCUCCACAACCCCUGCUUCCUACUACCCUUUCUUUUCCCUUACCUGUGGGCCUGGUGCGAGGGUUCCAGCAAAGGGAAGCGAGUGCAGGCAGGAAGACAAAGUCUCUGCCAUGCCUUCCAGGUCUCUCAGUAACUCCGAGCUCUGAACUGAGCGGAUUGGGCUGGGCUGACUAGAAGCCAACUCUCCAGUGAGGAGUGCGGCUGGACCUCAGGUGGCUCUUCAGGAGAGCAGGUCUCUUCCCAAGUGUUACAGCUCUUGGAACAAAAGACUCAGAUGAAGGAGUAGUUCUUGUACACCUUUAAUUCCCUGGAUAGGAUUUAUAUACAGUUUUGGGGGUGAUUCAAGGUUUAACAGCAGGUACCUCUCAUUGGCUUGCACUGAGAGCGUGGGGAAAAAAAUAUUUGCACGUGGGAAGGCUCGGUGCUGCUCCUUCGUGACUGAUAGCCACACACCUCUCCUGUGGGGGCAGUAACUUUGACAGGAGCCAGGGGUCCAGGAGACACGAUCGAAUGCCUUCUGUCCCGUGUAGGUGGAAAUCACUACCUACCGGGUCCCACCAGGGUUCAAGACCUAUGCUUGACUGGAAACCAGGCUGUCUGUGUGCAGCCCACUGCCCACACAUACCUCUGGUGCGUAUUGGGCUGGAAGGGAGGUUGAAGGGUUGAAGAACCAUAAUUAAAGCAGGUUUUGAAAAAUCUAAGCCUUCAAUGCACCCUAAUCCUUCUCAAAGAGUUCCAUCAACUGAGGACCAAGGAUUCAAAUAUAUAAGCCUGGGGGACCGUUCUCAUUCAAAUCACCAUACGUGCAAUUAUUUUUGAAAUGUAAUUAAUUUUUUGUUUAUUUUUG